Long non-coding RNA from Equus caballus (horse), 3945 nucleotides. The record is from Ensembl. Lineage: Eukaryota; Metazoa; Chordata; Mammalia; Perissodactyla; Equidae.
AGAAAUACAACAUGCAAAAUUAUUAAUGUUUGGCAAAAAAAGGUACAUAAAAUUAAAAUCUUAAUUUUUUUGAAACUUCCAGAUGAGUAUUGUUUGAUCUGGACUUCCUUUCUAUAGUCCAAGUGUUUUCUUCUCAUUCAUUACGAAACAAAAAAUUAACUCUAGUUUAGCUUUUUAUUUCUUCCUAGAUAUUAUCUUUAACUUGCUAUGGUCCCACGUCUCCUAAAGCCAUUGAAGAUGAUGCAUUUGUUUACAGCGACGCUUCAAAUAUUUUCUUAAAAACUAUUUCAGUUUUGGCAAGAUUCAGAAUCCAUAAACACAUUCUGUCAUGCAUUCUCUUACUGUUUACAUAUUUCCUUAAAAGCAGGGAUUUUCCUUCUGUUUUUGAGUUACGUUUAUGCCCUUUCUUAUUUGCUUUAUAGCUUGCUGCCACGAGACAAAAAUCUGUCCAAAGAAAAGAAUAAUUCCUAUCUCCUCCCUCAAAAUUUCUAAUAAGUCUCCUCGUAUAUUCCGGAAUCUCUUUCUUCUUGAAGGACUCAAAUGGGCCUUGAAAAUCCAUGUUGUCACAUGUUUAUCAGAGGAGAGGAAAAGGCCCUCAAGCGUUCAUAUCCUUGCAUCAGGGUUGUUAGGGGGCAGCGCCGUGGGAACCAGGCUUGCAGGCUUCCCCUGGGAGAAAGAUACCACAAGGCAAGGUCUCGGAAAAGGGGAGAAGAAUGAGUUCGUCACCGAAGCUGGAACGUGGCUUAAAGUGAGGAAUGGCGGCUCACUGCGUUGUGUAGUUGUGAGUGUGUAAUAAUAAAAGGAGCCCUACAGCAUCCGUCCCUAAGGCACUUUUUAAUUUAUUUUUUUUGUCCUGGAUGCACAAUCACCCACAGCAAGAGGCGUGCCAUUCUCACACGCGGGCCGACCUGCGCUCCUGGACGCGGUCGGGCGCGUCUCGAGGACCCGCCUGUGGCUGUGACGAUGGAGGCACCGCCACGUGCAGCCGGCCUCUGCCUCUCGACGGGGAGGGGGCGGGUGGGGGCCGGCGGGGGCGGCGCAGGGUCUCCCCUGCGAGGCCAGGCGGAGGUUCGCGGCUCCAGGUGCCCGCUCUGCUCCUCCCAGAAGCUGGACUCACGGGAAACGCAGGCCCGGCCGCCCCGCGAGCCCUCUAUUUACAGCCAGGGCUUGUGAAGGAGGCGGCGCUGAGAAGGCAGCCUUGGGAGGUCCAAGGCGUCUGAAGAUUUCAUCAGGACGUGCCCCCUGCGGCUCCUCCCCGGGGUUUGGGGUCACGAGGAUGUUGCCGCCUGGGACCCCUCCUGGUUACUGCCGUGAACCCGCCGGGCGCGGGGCCUCCUGCCACCUCGACGUCCGGGCUCCAGGCUCCCGGAUCUGGGCCCUUCUCGACAAAGCCGCAAGAGACCCGUGGCCCCUACUUAGAGAGCAGAGCUACCAAACGCCUGGUCACUCAGGCCAGUGACCUCCCACGGGCAUCCUGGGGUCCCCCCUCUUCUCCAGCCUACCUUGAAGACGCUAAAUUUGAAACAGGCUGCGAGUCUUUCCGCCCCCAUCCUGCUCUCCAGUGGGCAGCUCCGUCGUUGCUGGGGUCACUGUCCCCCUAUCCUCUGCCUACCCAGAAAUCUACUCUCAACAUCCACCCAGAGCCAGAGAGAGCUCCGGGAAAUCAAAUGAGCUCCUCUCACCUGGAGAAUGUCAACCAUGUGAGAGAAGAAACUGUCUGUUCGCUGUGGAUCCCUGCUCUGAGAACGGGGUCAGCCACAGGAUGGGUGAACUGAGACCCAGGAGGACAAAGUGCCUGCUCCACACCCCAAGCCAGGGGCCCUGCUCUGUGCGGGGGGAUCCGCCUGCGUGGUUGUGGGGGCCACUUGUGGCUGUCGGGCGUCAUCUAUCCCUGACACAUGGCCAAGGAAGAUAGGGACAAAAGGCACAAAUAUGCCAAAAGACAAAAGACUAAAAGCCACAUGGUUCAGAGGAGACAGAGCUGGAGGCUGGGUGCCCAGUGGCCUGGAAAGCUCCCAGAGGACGAGGGGUCUGAAUGGCUUGAGGAGCCGGUGGACCCAAACUUUGAGGGUCAACUCAUGGGAGGGCCUUAGGCAGGAACAGGCUGAGGCAAAUUCCUCAAGAAGGUAAUUCAGGGACAGAAGCAUCCGCUGGCUGCCUGUCACAGCCAGGGGCCUUUCACACAGAAAUCAGAUCAUGUGUUCGCUGCCUGGAACCUUAGCUGCUUCUGUACUGAGGCAGCUCAACAGACGACCACAAACCGGGUGGCUUCAGACAGGGGUGAUUUGUCUCUCAAGUUCAGGAAACCGGAAGUCUGAAAUGGGGGGCAGGGUCGGUCCCUCCUGGGGCUCCGAGGCAGCAUCUGUUCCAGGCCCCCUCCAGCUUCUGGUGGGGACCGGCCUCCUUGGGGUCCCUUGGCUUGUAGAUGCAUCGCUCCCAUCUCUGCCUCACGGUCACACGACCUUCUCCAUUUGUGUCUUCACACGGCUUCAGACAAGGACGCUAGUCAUUGUAUUUAGCGUCACCCGAACCCAGUACGACCUCAUCUUAACUAAUCACAUCUGCAAAGACCCUCUUUCCAAAGAAAGUCACAUUCUGAGGUUCCGGGAGGGGCAACGCUAUUCAACCCAGUGCAGCUUCCCAUUCUCCCGGAUUGAAAGCUGAGCCCUCUCCAGGCCUGUGGGGCAGAGCAGCCUGGUGCUUGAGACCAGGAGGCUGGAGCUGGGCUGCCCGGAUCAACACUGGGACAGUGGCCGAGGAAAACAGAAAAACGCCGCUGGGCACUCAACCCCCCUCUCGGUUUCCCCAUCUGUAAAAUGGGGCUGAUAACAGUACUGGCCUCCUCAGUUGUUGUGAGGGUGAAGUGAGAUAAUAAAGGGGCGGAGGCAAGAGCAGAUGAGGUCCCUGCCCCACGGAGCUCCCACGUUGGCAGGAGAGAGACAGGAAUGUGAAAUCGAGCGGGGCCGCACGUGGCCGGUGGUGAAGGUUGCCAAGAGGGAAGCACAGCAGGAUAGGGAGGCGGGGACAGGAGUGGUGCGGGCUCAACAGGCUGUUCAGGGAGGGACUCACUGAGACAGUGACAUGGGGCAAGGGGCCUGAAGAAAUGAGCAGGGGGCACGAGUGUUCUGCAGGGAGCGUUCAAGGCAGAGGGCACAGCCGGUACAAGGCCCGUGUGUGCGAGGAGCAGUGGGGGCCAGAGUGGCUGCAGGGAGGUGGACGAGGGAACUGUGGGGGCCGAGGUCAGAGAGGUGACAGGACGGGAUCCGUGUACGACCUUGAGGGCCAGUGAAAGGACGCUGGCAUUCCCUGUGCGUGUCAGAGCCCUUGGAUGGGUCUGAGCACAGGAGUGACGUGCUCUGAGUUCAUUUUAGGUGACCCCUCAGGCUGUGUGCGGGGCCAGACUGUGGGGCAGAGGGCAGAAGCAGCCGGACCUGCGAGGAGGCCGCCAGGGCGGGGGCAGGAAGGUGCAGGCCGGGGUCACCAGUGCCAGCUCUGGGAUUUGCACCUGAGGGUCGGCUGACGGGAUCUGCUGAUGGAUGGGGCGGAGGCGGUAAGAGGGAAACAGACCGUCAAGGAGGACGCCAAGGGCUUUGGGCUGAGCGGCUGGAAGGACUGCCGUGCUCCUGAGUCAGGUGUGGGAGGUCUCAGGAGGAGCAGGCGGGAGCAGGGAGCGGCUGAGAGGCAGAGAGACCUUCCAGAAAGGUCUGGGGUCCUGAGCCAACUUGGCCCCCCCUCAAGAGCUUCCUUCAUCUGAGCUGCAAGGACGACCACCUGUGUUGUCCCCGAGCGGGUGACGCCAGCCAGGCUCUGCACUUGUGUCUCCCUCCGAGAGACAAAGGUCAAUGUCACAGCAGUCUGCUCUGAUGCUGGCUUCAAGCCAAGGCCCUUAAUAUUCAAUGAGAAAUCUGCAUUGAUGAAAUUUUCAUUAAAGAAACAUUAUCCGUU